CCUACGGGAGACAGCAGUGAGGAAUAUUGGUCAAUGGACGAGAGUCUGAACCAGCCAAGUAGCGUGAAGGAUGACUGCCCUAUGGGUUGUAAACUUCUUUUAUAUGGGAAUAAAACGUUCCACGUGUGGGAUUUUGUAUGUACCAUAUGAAUAAGGAUCGGCUAACUCCGUGCCAGCAGCCGCGGUAAUACGGAGGAUCCGAGCGUUAUCCGGAUUUAUUGGGUUUAAAGGGAGCGUAGGUGGAUUGUUAAGUCAGUUGUGAAAGUGUGCGGCUCAACCGUAAAAUUGCAGUUGAAACUGGCAGUCUUGAGUACAGUAGAGGUGGGCGGAAUUCGUGGUGUAGCGGUGAAAUGCUUAGAUAUCACGAAGAACUCCGAUUGCGAAGGCAGUUCACUGGACUGCAACUGACACUGAGGCUCGAAAGUGUGGGUAUCAAACAGGAUUAGAUACCCCAGUAGUC
RNAcentral lists this ribosomal RNA (460 nucleotides) under uncultured bacterium. RNAcentral describes it as "partial 16S ribosomal RNA". It matches the Rfam family "Bacterial small subunit ribosomal RNA", at positions 338 to 795 of the family's 1533-position model. The record is from RNAcentral.